This is a non-coding RNA of Phalacrocorax carbo (great cormorant), 978 nucleotides long. The record is from RefSeq and is a predicted model, not a curated record. Lineage: Eukaryota; Metazoa; Chordata; Aves; Suliformes; Phalacrocoracidae.
CUAUUUUUCCACAGAAUAGUUGACUGCAAUGCACAAGCUGGCAAGUUUUCCACCUUACCUUACCAGCUUACUUCAGUGUCCCAUCUUGGGAAAAUCAGCUAAGGCUAGAAGAUAAGUACAGAAGAAGAUCAGGUAAGACAAACAGUACAGAAAUCUCUGUCAAGGAUCAAGACUCCAGUAAACUAAAUGCUGAACCUGAAAUCACUUAAACAAACAAAAAGGCCCUGUGUACAUUUAGUUUUUAUGCUAGAGGUCUCAGCUCACAGCUGCCAAUGGAAGAGCCAAGAGCGGCUAAAAAUCUAGGAGCUAAGAGGUGUCUUACCCUAGGAUGGUCAUCACACCUCUUUAGUAAUGCAACUCGUCUGUGGAGAGCAAGGCAUCCUUCGAAGCGAUCUACACUCAACAGGAGAUGGAGGACUGCGACGGUAACCCUGGACUCUUGAUGCUGUCUUCUCCCCUCCCCCCACCAUCUUUAAAGAUAUUUAUCUCAACGUGAUUCUUUUUUCUUUUUUAAUCAUUGCUGUUCCAGCAGCCCCAAGAGCAUUGAGCAAUGUGGAAAUGCCACUCAGUGAAUCAUAUGGUGCGUUUAGCCAAGCUGCUUAGUAAACUCCAUGGCUUCCACAUAAGGUCUUUCCAUUAUCCUGGGAUUGUUCUCACGCUAUACAAGCGGUAAACUUAAAGUCACAUCUGCUUUGCUGACCUUGCCUGAAGACUGAACAUUGUUUGCGUGUUCUCUGAAUUGGAACACGCUGUGUAGCUCCUGCGCUGAAGCGGGAAGGAAAUAUUUUUCUCUAUUUCCUGUGUCCUGUAUGAACUUUUCCAUUGUAAAAUGUGUGCUAUGAUUUUUUUUUUAAAAUAAAUUGACAGGAAAUCAAUAUUUUUCACCAGAUACACUGGUUUAAAAUUCACCCCAAGGAACAAUGUGAUUUUCAGUUGGUACGGGAACUUUAAUAAAAAAGCAAAUCAAUGGAUAAUGGA